This 234-nucleotide long non-coding RNA is filed under the name Brassica napus (rape). RNAcentral's name for it is "long non-coding RNA (BNAP_LNC022742)". Lineage: Eukaryota; Viridiplantae; Streptophyta; Magnoliopsida; Brassicales; Brassicaceae. The record is from RNAcentral.
GCCACCACAAAGGUCACCCAAAAACUUCGAUGACCAAAAGAGAUCUAAAAGGACCCGCACAUUUCUGCUCCAAGAACUAAAGACAGAUUCCCAGUUUCCCACACUGCAAAAGAAGGCACCAAUGACAAACGAUGCCAACACACAAAUAACUAGAAUCCGAAAACCUAUUACAAGAGAGCGUAAAUCCAGAUCAAAAGACUCCAAGGAUGAAACAUUGAGCAGAGGAGGACAAAG